Xenia sp. Carnegie-2017 is the source of this 547-nucleotide long non-coding RNA. RefSeq lists it as uncharacterized. The transcript has 3 exons. Lineage: Eukaryota; Metazoa; Cnidaria; Anthozoa; Malacalcyonacea; Xeniidae. The record is from RefSeq and is a predicted model, not a curated record.
UCUAUAAAACUUAUGAAUAAUAAUAUUUUGAAGCAAGACAGAGUCAGAAUAAAUGUUCGAAGAAAGUUUCUAUGGAUCGACUUUAAACAAGCACGUCUUACAAAGAUCAAACUUGAUGACAACUUAAAGGUUGUGUUUAUUGGCGAAUGUGCCAUUGAUGAUGGAGGACCAAAAAGAGAGUUCUUCACAGAAUUGUUAGAAGCAGGAAAAAGGAAGUUAAUGUCUCGUGGAUUUCCCAAUGAUUCCACAAUGGCACUGAUGGCUAAUGACUUCUGACUACUUGGUGAGGCUAUGGUUAUGUCUGUCAUACAGGGUGGUCCAGCUCCAAAUUUCUUAAAUGAAAGUAUAUUCCAAUAUAUUGCAAAGCAAGAUUUAUCUGCAGAAAAUUGUCAAAAUGAGGCAUUUAAAUCAGCAGCUAUUAAGUUAUCAUCCUGUAUAACAGAUGAUGUACUUCAUGAAACCAUAUUGGCAGAUGAGAUAUUAGAUGUUUUGCAGAAUGUUGGAUACACCGGUGUGCCUCAAAAAGAAAGCAUCAAAUCAUCCAAAG